AUCGCUGAAAACUGCCACAUAACUUGUAUAACUGCUGUAAGGCUUGGUUUUCAGCCAUAAGAUGGGAAGAGAAGUAACAUCUACCUUGCAGGAUGACUGCAAGCUGUAAAAUGCCACAAAGCGCAGGGGAGCCCAGAACCGCCGCAGCAGGACAGGUCCUCUGGAAGCAGACAGACCUGCCUUGUUACUUUAGCCAUCCAGAGUCCAGUUUAGCCAGUGAUGAAAUGAGUACAAAAGAACACCUUUCUUGUAGGAUUGCAAAAUGAUGUCUUCAUCCAUUCUGUGCUGCUAUAGCAGACUCCUGCACACUGGGUAACUGACAGCUUACAGAAGCUUGUUGGCUUAUGGUUCUGGAGGCUGGGAAGUCCAACCUCAAGGGGCUGCAUCUGGUGAGGGCUUUCUUGUUGCAUCAUCACAUCGCAGAAUAGCAGAAGGGCAAGGAGAGAGAGAGAAAAGAGUGCUGAACCCACCCUUUGAUAAGAAGCCCACUCCCAUGAUAAUAGCACCAGCCCAUUCAGGAGGGCAAAGCCCUCGUGGCUGCAUCGCCUCUCAAAGGUUCCACCUCUCAAGAUCAUCACAAUGACAAUCAAACUUCAUGAAUUUUGGAGGGGACAAUUAUUCAAACCAGAACAGAGGGGGAUGGCAAAUGUUCUGAAAACAAGCCUAGAAAUUGAUCUUAGAAAUGGUGCAAAAGUAGAUUUCCCCUUCUGUCUUUACCUGUGAUGGUCUAACCCCAAAAGCCUCCCAGAACAGAACUUGUGAGCACAAGAUAGAAACAACAAACUUGAUGCAGAGCUGAGCUCACAAGGAGGUCAGGGAUGUGACAGGAACCAGAGACAAACAGAAGGCUGAAAACCAGGUCUUAAAGUGUGAGAGCCAAAGGGCAGCAGCCCAGGAGAGUGUUCGUCUGGAGCCCCGGGGUUUAAGUCUCCACACUCACAUGGGAAAGGAGACGAGGCCUCCCUGGAUCCACGUGAAUCAGGAACUGGAACAAGGGCACUCAAAGGGCUACGCCAUCAGGAGAGAUGUGAAUGAGUGUGCCCACAGGAACAGGAAGACAACAGGAUGGUUCUGUGUUUGCCUGCCUGUUGUGGUUCUGUGAGACAGAAACAGUUUUGAUGACAAUUGAUAAUCAGGACUCAGAGCCUUGUUAGACUUCAGGUAUUGAAUUUUUUUUUGAGACAGGGUCUAGCUGUGUUGCCCAGGCUGGUCUUGAACUCCUGGGCCCAAGUGAUCCUCCUACCUUGGCCUCCCAAAGUGCUGGGAUUACAGGCAUGAGCUACCGUGCCCAGCCUAGGUAUCGAAUUUUCACAGGUUUCACAGUCCAGGCCCUACCACCCCUGCAGCAAAUAACUUGAUAUAAAACCUGGGCCCAGGCUAGUAAUACCCUUGAAGCCCAUGACAGAAGCAGGCACAGUGAUAGAAGCAAAAUCACGUAGACAUUAUCAAUCUAGCCCCCUCCAAUUCCUACCCAUAAAGCCCACUGAAGAUGAAUUUACAAUCAUAAAGUACAAAACAUGCCAAGAAAGAACCACAUGAGGGAAGUCAGCAGAUGUGUGAACAGCAGGAACGGACUCCGCCACCAAAGGCCUUCAAAAGAACCAGCUGGAACCCUCUGGAAAGUUCCAGAACCACCAGCAUCAGGGUGGCCAAGACGUGGGCACUGCCAGACAGGGGACCAUGUGGGGCCAGAAGAAAUUAUAGGACAUAGCAGGUCUCAGACAUGACCAGAGACUGCUGCCAGUGGUGGAAGGCUUCCCUGAGCGUGAUGACCUGGCCACUCCACAGGAAGCCUCCACACCCAAGGUUAAAGGUGUCCAGCUGCGGCCAGGGUUCCGGGGUACCUGUGGAUCCCGUGACGUGGCACCGAAGAUCUGAGCUGUGCAGAGGAGCUGCACCACAGAGGCCAGGUUUCCGUGUGGAGAACGCGCAUAAUGGGAGGCCUUGAGCUGAGACCCAGCCCCCGACCCCCACCCCCACCCACCAGCAGGGGAUUCUCCUCAGGGCCUCACAGAGCACCACGUGGUGUCAUUGCUGGUCCUGCCAUAGCUCCCAGGACCAAUGCUUCCCAGAACUCCCUGCUACAUAAAUACAUCCGGUCCCUUUCCCUCGAGAUCUUGAAAAGUGAAGACUUCACUUGGCAGUAACGGUAAAACAUUUCAACAUGGUAAGUUGUCAUUUUAUGCACACAUGGAAUGGUGGCCCAUAAAGGGCCUGGGGGUCCAAUAUCCUACAUACUGGACUCCUCAUUAGUCCUCUGAGUCUUCUGUUCCCCAACACACUGCAUUGGGAUCAAACUGAAUUUGCAGCCAGGCAUCAUAGCUCAUGCCUGUAAUUCCAGCACUUUGGGAGGCUGAGAUAGAGGAUCACUUGAGGCCAGGAGUCCAAGACCAGCCUGGGGAACAUAACGAGACCUUGCCUCUAAAAAAAAAAUUUUAAAAAUUAGCCUGGUGUAGUGGGCAUGCCUAUAGUCUUAGCUACUAGGGAGGCUGAGGUAGGAGGAUCACUUGAGCCCAGGAGUUCAAAGUUAUAGUGAGCUAAGAGUGCAUCACAGCACUCCAGCCCGGGCAACAGAGCAAGACCCUGAUUCUAAACACACCUAUACACACACACACACACACCCCACCACCAACAACAAUGAAAAACCCUGAAUUUACAUCCUUCACGAUAAAGUGAUAGCUUCUGUGACAUUUGCACAGAAUUCUGAGUAAAGUUGCCUUUUCAGUCACAUCUGUUAAUGUUGACAAGACAUAAUCUAAAAAUCAAGAGGAUGAGAAUAGAAGGACCACUUCCCUUCUAGUGACCUCCUGGACCACACCAAGCACCAACAUCAUGAGGAUCCAAGGAAUCUCUGGAAAGUUCUAUCUCCAGAAGAUACCCUGAGAACACUUAGGCCCUCCCAGACCACAUGAAGAACCAACGUCAUAAGGAUCCAAGGCAUCCCUGGAAAGUUCCUUCUCCAGAAGAAGGAUCCAAGGCAUCUCUGGAAAGUUCCAUCUCCAGAAGAUUCCCUGAGAACACUUAGGCCCUCCCAGACCACACCAAGCACCAACAUCAUGAGGAUCCAAGGCGUCCCUGGAAAGUUCCCUCUCCAGAAGAUUCCCUGAGAAGACUUAGGCAUGAUCUUAAAUAAAUAUUCCUGUUGUUUAAAAGGCCUUAAAUUCCUCAUAUUUAAGCUGUUGGGAGUCCCUUGCAAUUCCAUAUACACUUGAGAAUCUACUUUUAUUUCUUUGAACAGGGCUGUUGGAAUUUUGAUAGGCAUUGUGUUGAAUCUGUAGAUCACUUUGGGUAGUAUUGACAUCUUAACAAUAUUAAGUCUUCCUAUCCAUGAAUAUGGGAUGUCUUUCCAUUUAUUUAGGUGUUCUUUAAUUUCUUUUAGCAAUCUUUUCUAUUUUCAGCAUACGAGUCUUUCACCUCCUUGGUUAGACUUAUUUCUGAGUAUUUAAUUCUUUUAGAUCUUGUUGUAAAUGGCAUUGUUUACUUAAUUUCCUGUUUGAAUUGUUCAAUACUGAUGCACAGAAACAAAUGAAUUUUGCGUGUUGGUCUUGAUGUGUUGAUCUUGUAACUUUGCUGAAUUUGUUUAUGAGCUAUUGUACCUUCUUGUGGGUUCUUUUGGAUUUUCUAUAUGUAGGAUUAUGUCAUCUUCAAAUAGAGAUCGUUUUACCACUUCC
Molecule: long non-coding RNA, 3671 nt
Filed under: Homo sapiens (human)
Lineage: Eukaryota; Metazoa; Chordata; Mammalia; Primates; Hominidae
Description: HSALNT0317802
Source: RNAcentral